CCUACGGGGGGCUGCAGUAAGGAAUAUUGGUCAAUGCCCGGAAGGGUGAACCAGCCAUCCCGCGUGAAGGAUGAAGGGGCUCUGCCUUGUAAACUUCUUUUGUAUGGGGCGAAAAAAGGGGAUUUAUCCUCGACUGACGGUACCAUAAGAAUAAGCACCGGCUAACUCCGUGCCAGCAGCCGCGGUAAUACGGAGGGUGCGAACGUUAUCCGGAAUCACUGGGUUUAAAGGGUGCGUAGGCUGUUUAAUAAGUCAGUGGUGAAAGGCCGUCGCUUAACGAUGGGACUGCCAUUGAUACUGUUAGACUUGAAUCAGGUUGAGGUUGGCGGAAUGUGGCAUGUAGCGGUGAAAUGCAUAGAUAUGCCAUGGAAUACCGAUUGCGAAGGCAGCUGACUGGACCUUGAUUGACGCUGAGGCACGAAAGCGUGGGUAGCGAACAGGAUUAGAUACCCGUGUAGUC
RNAcentral lists this ribosomal RNA (460 nucleotides) under uncultured Saprospiraceae bacterium. RNAcentral's name for it is "bacterial SSU rRNA". It matches the Rfam family "Bacterial small subunit ribosomal RNA", at positions 338 to 795 of the family's 1533-position model. Lineage: Bacteria; Pseudomonadati; Bacteroidota; Saprospiria; Saprospirales; Saprospiraceae. The record is from RNAcentral.